GGGUUCAGUUUCUGCUACUGUGUCACCUCAAGUGUCAGGUCGUACCACCGUCGGUGUAAAUAAAACGAAUGAAGAAAGUAAAAACAUAGGAGAAAAUAUAAAUUUGCUAAGUUCACAGAAGGAACAGAGAAAAAUAAAUGACACAAAAAUUGAUAACGAAGAAAAAAGGGAUAAGUCAAAAAAUGAUAUGAAUAGUAGUACAGUAGAAAGGGGAAAUAAAAUCGAUGGGGGGCUAACUGAUGUGGGAUCAACUUAUGACGAUAAAAAUGUAAAUACAAUUAAUUACAACUACGAAAUUUUAAAAGAUUAUUACAACAGUUUUUUUAUGAACGCGUACAUGUGGGUUUUGAAUAAUUUGAUUGUCGAUGACAAAAUUAUGAAUUCUCGAAAUGUGUUCAGCAACAAUAUAAAAAAUAAUUUAAAAGUAAAAAUGGGUAACAACUAUUGUUGUGAUUAUAUUUAUAAUAUUUAUGACAAUAAUUGGAAGCAUUUGAGUGAGUACAUGAAUGAUGAUAUUUUGUUUUUGCAGAGACUGAAGUGGGGCUCUGACCGAGUUGGCGGAAAUGAUGGAGGUGGUGAAGGGAGUGGUGAAGGAAGUGGUGAAGGAAGUGGUGAAGGAAGUGGUGAAGGAAGUGGUGGAGGAAGUGGUGAAGGAAUUGGUGAAGGGAUUGGUGAAGGAAGUGGUGAAGGAAGUGGUGACGGACAAAUAGAGGGGUAUAACGAUGAAACAUUAACAAAUGACCCAACCCAAACACCAUCACAACCACUAGGAAAAGAAAGUGGACAAAGCAAAUCAAAACCGAUAAAUAAUGAAAAAAACAAAAAAAGGAGCACAAAAAAAAAGAACACAACAAACUAUAUCGAAAGCAUGUUACCAAACAGGUAUGACGAGAUAUAUAUUAACACAAUUGAACUCAUAAGAAUUGAAAAGAUGAUUAAAUACACUUUAGAACAAAAUAAAUCCAUUUUAGUAUACGGAAACAAUGGUACAGGUAAAACAAA
This 1002-nucleotide long non-coding RNA is filed under the name Piliocolobus tephrosceles (Ugandan red Colobus). Its description in RNAcentral is "lncRNA (ENSPTEG00000000149.1)". The record is from RNAcentral. Lineage: Eukaryota; Metazoa; Chordata; Mammalia; Primates; Cercopithecidae.